UCCCCAGACUCCUACGGGAGGCAGCAGUGGGGGAUAUUGCACAAUGGGGGAAACCCUGAUGCAGCGACGCCGCGUGGGUGAAGAAGUAUUUCGGUAUGUAAAGCCCUAUCAGCAGGGAAGAAAGAAGACGGUACCUGACUAAGAAGCCCCGGCUAACUACGUGCCAGCAGCCGCGGUAAUACGUAGGGGGCGAGCGUUAUCCGGAUUCACUGGGUGUAAAGGGAGCGUAGACGGCCGUGCAAGCCAGGAGUGAAAGCCCGGGGCCCAACCCCGGGACUGCUCUUGGAACUGUGCGGCUAGAGUGCGGGAGGGGCAGGCGGAAUUCCUGGUGUAGCGGUGAAAUGCGUAGAUAUCACGAAGAACCCCGAUUGCGAAGGCAGCCUGCCGCAGCGUUACUGACGCUGAAGCUCGAAAGCGCGGGUAUCGAACAGGAUUAGAUACCCGAGUAA
This 449-nucleotide ribosomal RNA is filed under the name uncultured bacterium. Its description in RNAcentral is "bacterial SSU rRNA". It matches the Rfam family "Bacterial small subunit ribosomal RNA", at positions 328 to 793 of the family's 1533-position model. The record is from RNAcentral.